Molecule: non-coding RNA, 3294 nt
Organism: Linepithema humile (Argentine ant)
Lineage: Eukaryota; Metazoa; Arthropoda; Insecta; Hymenoptera; Formicidae
Source: RefSeq, a predicted model, not a curated record
CAACAUCGGAAAGCUAGACAGACAAAAAGGGUUUACAUAACCUAAACUUAAACGAAGUAUAGUCUGCAUCGUCUUAAAAAAAUCAUUGCAAAAUACUCAACAAAAAAUUGAUAAAAUACAAACAUGUUAAAGUACGAUGAAAUAAUGCGAACAGAGAUAAUGUAUCGCAAAGCGAUGUUUUGUCAAUGGAAGUUUUUAUCGUCGCUUUAUGUUAAACGUAAAAAUGCGACAUGUCACAUUUACAGUAAUACAGUUUUGCUCUAAUUAAAAUAUCGUUGCGGAUGUCUGCUAGACAUAACGUCUGCUAUCAUUAAUUACUUUCUUUCUAUUAUCUCGACGGUAUAAUAUGUAUUGGACAUUCGCGAGUCUAUCGCAAAUGUCGCUUCAUAUAUCGGCAGGGUCGAUAGACGGUCACAGCUUUAUCAAUUCACAUGACGUAUGGUGUGAUGAGGGCACUACCAUUAUCUACUUUCUUCGAAAUGGACAACGUUACGAUGUAAUUUUUUCUUAACCCGGUGAGUCGCCUUUUUUAAACAUCUCGUAUAUAACUCUAAUCUGCAUUUUUUAUUCAUAUCCAUUGAAGCGAUGCUUUCUGAAUUCAACUUCAUAAGAUUAUAAUGACAAUUAAUUAUGUUUAUUCCUUCUACAUAUGCAAGAAUUUACGAUGAUUGAUAAUGAGGGAAAGUCUAGAGUACGCAGUUUCUGAUAACACGGUUUGCUACGCUCAUAAAUCGUGCGUCUAAGACCGGGUUCUCCGCUGUAACAUAUUAUUGUGUAUCGCUAUAAAUCAAUUAGUAGUCUGAUGGGAAGACUGAAAAAAUUAAAUACGCGUUGCAUCAACGAUUAUGCGCAGUAAAGCAUUUAAUUAAUUAAAUAUACCAUGAACUCUGUAUCUAAAUUUUGUAUGUAAAGUACUUAUGACGCGAGUUUGUGAAAUGAUAAGAUCAUAGCGAAUUUGUUACACAUAUACAGUGUCAAGUGGGCAUUAAUUCUCAAAUUGUCAAGCUAUGCAAAGCAGAUAUGCAAAAAAGAAAGGAAACAUCACGUUGACCAAAAUUAGCUUUGAUUAGCGCAUAUUUUUAAAGAACGUCGAAUUUUGACGAUCAAAAGUCCAAAAAUAGAAUAAGCAUAUAAUAAAAUAAAAAAUAAAAAUAUUUCAGCGUCUGGCUUUCAAUUGAUUUAUCGAUAACGAAUCUAAUCAGACUCGAUUUCAAUGGAUGUUAAUACAGUCGCGGACGCUUGAAUAUCAAUUUAUCAUCAAUUCUUACGCGACGAAGCCAUGCAUGUACAACAGAGCGCUUAUCAACAACAUUUACAUGCCUACGUAAAUGUGUCCAUGAAAGUCGAACCAGUCGUCUUUCGAGCUCGAUUGACCAGUUCGGAUGGGUUGUCUGUCGCAUGCUAUCGUUAUGCAUAAAUUUUUUUUUCAUUUCCAUACUUGGCUCACACCUAGUUCAUCCGAUCUCACUCUCAAGGUAAUCCGGAGAAAUUCUGCUCUCACUGCAGUAUUUCGCUGAGACAUGCAUUUAAACGUACUGCAAUGUGCAUAGAGACUGUAAAUUUUACACGUUUGAAUAAUUCUAUUUAAAAAAGAUGCUGCAAUUGCAAAAUCUGGACUCUAAGUCGGACGUAUGACUCGCGUGAAUCUGCGAAUCAGGUGGAGGAUGGAUUGCGAAAAAGCAACUAGAAUAUUCUUUCCAAGCCGCAAACCGGUGACGAAUGAGGCUCCAUUGAAAUCAAUUGGAAGGUGCAAAACGUCAACCGAGAUAAUUCAGCCAGUUGACCCGCCGUGAUGAUUCUAAUACUAGAGUGCAACACGCACAUUCGUCGUCGCGUUAUAGCGCGGCAUUUCACAGACUCUGUCUUCCUCCUCGCAGCUGUGGCGGAUAGAAAACUUUCAACGAAACGCUUCCUACUAUUCCACCAUCGCUCAUCCUUCAUUUAUCACACUCUGCGCCCAUCAACGCAUCAGCGAUUAACGAAUCUGACCACAAUUUCGUUAUCAGAAUUGAAAUCGGCUAGAUAGAACAAAAGCAGGAAACACGAUGUAUGAUUUAUCUUCGUUACGAGAGCAAUGUAUGUACUCAUCCUUAGUCGAUAUUGUACAACUCUUGAAGAUUAGGCUUGGCGUCAAGUGCACUCCGGUUAUCUAAUCGAGUGCGCUUCUCCAAAGAGCGCAGCUCAUAAAUAAUCUGCCUGCCGUUUGAAUAAUGGAACUUCCGUAAUUCAUGACUAUUAUCAGCAAGGGCACCGUAUAAAUCCGCGUGAGAUGAAGGUACGUAGGAGUUGAACGUGAAAAAAUGUCGCAUUCUUAAAUGCUUUUAGCUGUAACUACCACAUUCGAACAAGUUUUUGCGAAUGAUCCUGCAUAAAUAACGAGCAUAAAGCAACGUUUUUCCCAUUCAAGAGACUCAUAACUCCGAAAAAUACGAAAGUGAUAAUUUUAACAAACUUCAGCGCAGAGUGAGUGAGUGAAUUCUAUUUAAAUAGAACGCGUUUUAAAUAGCACACGCGUAGUUUUUUGUAAAAAUAACAGAGUCUAACCAGCAGAGAUAUUGAAAUGAUUAACUUUUAAUUUCAGAAACAAGAUGCAAGACGAAAUAGAAUAAAUGACAUUGGACGAUGUGAUAACGUCUUGUCAAAUGACCGAAGUGCAACGGAUGUCACGCGAAAUGACGUAAAAUGAUUUUUAUUACAGCACUUAUUUACUUAUAAUUGACGUCUUAAUAAUACAUAUCACCGUAAGAAUUGGAAGAAACGCGGGACGCGAAUUCGAUAUCAUCUAGCGCGCGACAGUCGAAAUAUCACCGCUGACGAUCUUACAUCAAUUACGUGAUUUCGCAACUCGUACGUGGAAUAAACACGGCGCGCGGCGAUAAAGCGGCGACUAAAUUGGACUUUCUGUGAUCAAGAAUCGGAGACGUCGGGUAUCUUACGACGGUCACGCUAUCAGCUAGAAGUUGCCGUUGCAGGAUCGAGUGCCUUGGAAGUGAAUUUAACUGAAAGAUAAAAUUUUGGAAUCCAACGAUGAUUAUCUAUAGAAUACAAAACCGAAACAUCACGAGCUUAUUUCUUUCAACAAAGCACAGAUACCUGUCCAAAUAGAAGAGGCCCAUCAACAUUCCAUUUUUUUUUGGAGUAUAGAAAAAAAAAGAAAAUAUCGUACGUUCGACGAAAGAUUCGAGCCUGUAACUUCUCGUAAAUUUGCGAGUAUCGACAAGUGGACGGCGCGGAAACUGCAGUUUACUGGAGCGCAUUUAGGAACGGUGACACUACUUGGUCCAGCUUUAAUGA